Molecule: ribosomal RNA, 835 nt
Filed under: uncultured Chloroflexota bacterium
Lineage: Bacteria; Bacillati; Chloroflexota
Description: bacterial SSU rRNA
Rfam family: Bacterial small subunit ribosomal RNA
Source: RNAcentral
AAUACAGCAAGUCGAACGGAGAAUGUAGCAAUACGUUCUUAGUGGCGAACGGGUGAGUAACGCGUGGUGACCUGCCCCAAAGUGUGGGAUAACAGAUCGAAAGAUUUGCUAAUACCGCAUGUGGCUUCGGAAUUAGAACCCGACGACUAAAGGAGUAAUCCGCUUUGGGAGGGGCCUGCGUCCAUCAGCUAGUUGGUAGGGUAACGGCCUACCAAGGCUUCGACGGGUAAGGGACCUGAGAGGUGGUCCCUCACAAUGGAACUGAAACACGGUCCAUACACCUACGGGUGGCAGCAGUAGGAAUAUUGCUCAAUGGGCGAAAGCCUGAAGCAGCAACGCCGCGUGUGCGAUGAAGGCCUUGGGUCGUAAAGCACUUUUCUGGGAGAUGAGAAAGGACAGUAUCCCAGGAAUAAGCCUCGCUAACUACGUGCCAGCAGCCGCGGUAAAACGUAGGAGGCGAGCGUUAUCCGGAUUUACUGGCGUAAAGCGCGUGCAGGCGGUUCGGUAAGUUGGAUGUGAAAGCUCCCGGCUCAACUGGAGAGGUCGUUCAAUACUGCCGGACUAGAGGGCAGCAGAGGAAGGUGGAAUUCCCGGUGAGUGGUGAAAUGCGUAGAUAUCGGGAGGAACACCAGUGGCGAAGGCGGCCUUCUGGGCUUUCCUGACGCUCAGACGCGAAAGCUAGGGUAGCGAACGGGAUUAGAGACCCCGGUAGUCUAGCCGUAAACGAUGCAAACUUGGCGUCGGUGGGUUAAAAACCAUCGGUGCCGAAGCCACGCGAUAAGUUUGCCGCCUGGGGACUACGGCCGCAAGGUUAAAACUCAAAUGAAUUGACGGG